AUUUGAUGGUGUGGGCAGCUUGCACAAAGCAUUUUGAAACGCUCCCAAUAUUCAUAUAAUGACUCUCCAUUGUUUUGCUUUAUACCACAGAUUUCCUUUCUAAUGUU
Ipomoea nil (Japanese morning glory) is the source of this 107-nucleotide small nucleolar RNA. It matches the Rfam family "Plant small nucleolar RNA R71". Rfam says of the family: R71 is a member of the C/D box family of snoRNAs containing the C (UGAUGA) and D (CUGA) box motifs. Multiple nearly identical copies of this snoRNA have been identified in Arabidopsis, and it is thought to function as a 2'-O-ribose methylation guide for 18S ribosomal RNA. NCBI's taxonomy places the organism in Eukaryota, Viridiplantae, Streptophyta, Magnoliopsida, Solanales, Convolvulaceae. The record is from Rfam.